GUAGACUUGUGGCACUGAUGGACCCCUCCCCUAGACACACAACGAAUGGGGGGAAGUGGAAGGCAAGGAGGAGGCAGAAGCAGCAAGGAGAAUCCUGAUCCUGAGAGGCUGAGUGCAGAGCAGGAAUGAGCAGAAGAGGCUGAGCUCCAGGAGGAAUGGAGGGGAAAAAAGAGGAAGUGAGGCAAGCAGGAAGCAAGACUUCUCCCACUGCUGUCUGCGGCAAAUCACCAUGUGAAGCAGCCGAGGCUAACUUGCUAGAUACUGGGGACAUGUGGCUGGUCACCCCUGUGGAACUCCUCCUAUGCCAGAUAUGCAUGUGACAUUGCCAGGGACCACCAGGCCUCAGAAAAUCCUCCAGCUGACUGCACCAUGCAAGCAAAUCUGGGCAAAUCCAGCAGAAGAACUUCCCAGCUGAGCCCAGCCCAAAUUGCCGACCCCCAGAAUGGUGAGCUAAUAAAUGUUGUUGAAGUCUCCAA
This is a long non-coding RNA of Budorcas taxicolor (takin), 476 nucleotides long. RefSeq lists it as uncharacterized. The transcript is spliced from 3 exons. The record is from RefSeq and is a predicted model, not a curated record. NCBI's taxonomy places the organism in Eukaryota, Metazoa, Chordata, Mammalia, Artiodactyla, Bovidae.